RNAcentral lists this ribosomal RNA (235 nucleotides) under uncultured prokaryote. RNAcentral describes it as "partial 16S ribosomal RNA". It matches the Rfam family "Bacterial small subunit ribosomal RNA", at positions 524 to 758 of the family's 1533-position model. The record is from RNAcentral.
UACGUAGGGUCCGAGCGUUGUCCGGAAUUAUUGGGCGUAAAGGGCGCGUAGGCGGUGCGGUAAGUCACCUGUGAAACCUCUAGGCUUAACCUAGAGCCUGCAGGCGAAACUGCCGUGCUGGAGUGUGGGAGAGGUGCGUGGAAUUCCCGGUGUAGCGGUGAAAUGCGUAGAUAUCUGCAGGAACACCCGUGGCGAAAGCGGCGCGCUGGACCACUACUGACGCUGAGGAACGAAA